GUCGAACGAUGAAACUUAAAUGAUUUCUUCGGAAUGAACUUAAGUGGAUUAGUGGCGGACGGGUGAGUAACGCGUGAGUAACCUGCCUUACACAAGGGGAUAGCCGUUGGAAACGACGAAUAAUACCCUAUGAAACUAUCACUUCGCAUGAAGCGAUAGUCAAAGUGUUAGCGGUGUAAGAUGGACUUGCGUCUGAUUAGCUAGUUGGUGAGAAAAAAGCCCACCAAGGCAACGAUCAGUAGCCGGCUUGAGAGAGUGUACGGCCACAUUGGGACUGAGACACGGCCCAGACUCCUACGGGAGGCAGCAGUGGGGAAUUUUGCACAAUGGGGGAAACCCUGAUGCAGCGACGCCGCGUGAUUUAGAAGGCCUUCGGGUUGUAAAAAUCUUUUGUAUAGGAAGAAAAUGACAGUACUAUACGAAUAAGGUCCGGCUAAUUACGUGCCAGCAGCCGCGGUAAUACGUAAGGACCGAGCGUUGUCCGGAAUCAUUGGGCGUAAAGGGUACGUAGGCGGGUCAUUAAGUUAGAAGUCAAAGGCUAUAGCUCAACUAUAGUAAGCUUCUAAAACUGGAGACCCUGAGUAAUGGAAGGGAAAGUGGAAUUCCUAGUGUAGCGGUGGAAUGCGCAGAUAUUAGGAGGAAUACCGGUGGCGAAGGCGACUUUCUGGCCAUUAACUGACGCUGAGGUA
RNAcentral lists this ribosomal RNA (689 nucleotides) under uncultured Eubacteriales bacterium. Its description in RNAcentral is "bacterial SSU rRNA". It matches the Rfam family "Bacterial small subunit ribosomal RNA", at positions 61 to 753 of the family's 1533-position model. Lineage: Bacteria; Bacillati; Bacillota; Clostridia; Eubacteriales. The record is from RNAcentral.